Long non-coding RNA from Puntigrus tetrazona (Sumatra barb), 260 nucleotides. RefSeq lists it as uncharacterized. Lineage: Eukaryota; Metazoa; Chordata; Actinopteri; Cypriniformes; Cyprinidae. The transcript is spliced from 4 exons. The record is from RefSeq and is a predicted model, not a curated record.
GGACCGGUCUGCAGUGGAGUCUUUUUGUUGUCUGGUCCCUGGAUGAUAUGACGGUGCAGAGAAUGUGUGUUGAGCCGAAGCUGCUGUUUUUGGGCGCCUCUGUGGAGGUGUCUGAGGAGAAUCUGGAGACUUCUGCGCUGCUGUGAGUCUGACCUAAAACUUUCAGUUGAAGAAACAUCACCAGCUCUGUCCGUCCAUGAAGAUCAAGUGGUGUCCUGCUCUGAGAUGAUCGUUUUGGAUGAACUGAUGACAAGUGAACG